UAGUCUGCAACCCGACUACAUGAAGCUGGAAUCGCUAGUAAUCGCGGAUCAGAAUGCCGCGGUGAAUACGUUCCCGGGUCUUGUACACACCGCCCGUCACACCAUGGGAGUCGGAAAUGCCCGAAGUCAGUGACCCAACCGUAAGGAGGGAGCUGCCGAAGGUGGAGCCGGUAACUGGGGUGAAGUCGUAACAAGGUAGC
Molecule: ribosomal RNA, 200 nt
Filed under: uncultured bacterium
Lineage: Bacteria
Description: partial 16S ribosomal RNA
Rfam family: Bacterial small subunit ribosomal RNA
Source: RNAcentral